Molecule: non-coding RNA, 401 nt
Filed under: Canis lupus familiaris (dog)
Lineage: Eukaryota; Metazoa; Chordata; Mammalia; Carnivora; Canidae
Also listed under: 1 other name
Description: Eukaryotic large subunit ribosomal RNA
Rfam family: Eukaryotic large subunit ribosomal RNA
Source: Rfam by way of RNAcentral
UUAUGGUUAGGGUACACAGUUGUAUCUGGUAAAUGGAAGGAUUAGAGGUCUUGGGGUUGUAAUGAUCUCAACCUAUUCUCAAACUUUAAAUGGAUAAGAAGCUCAGCUUGCUGGCAUAGAUCUGGGCGUGGAAUGGGAGUGCCUAGUGGGCCCCUUUGGGUAAGUAGAACUGGCGCUGUGGGAUGAACCCAACACCAGGCUAAGGUGCCCGAUGUUGACAUUCAUCAGACCCCAGAAAACGAGUUGGUUGAUAUAGACAGGAGGACAGUGGCCAUGGAAGUCGGAAUCCGCUAAGGAGUGUGUAACACUCACCUGCCGAAUCAACUAGCCCUGAAAAUGAAUGGUGCUGGAGCCUCGGACGCAUACCCAGCCAUCACUGGCAAUUGGUCACGCGCCAGACG